GCUUCAUAGAUAUUAUAGCCUAAACAUGGAACCUGUGGAUUUUGGUAACUCAUCUUGUUGGCUUGAUUUUGUACUUUCCAAAUUCAAUGAUUGUGAAUCUCUUGAUCAGCUACUUCUGUUAAAUGCGGUUACAAAUCAAGGACGCCAGCUUCUGCGGCUUGUGAAUGAUGAAGAGUCACAGGAGGAACAAACAAAAAUCAAGGACAUUGUAUCUCAGAUCUGCACUAUCUCAAGCACUGCCAACAGCUUGGGCCNNNNNNNNNUGAAGGAGUGCUUCAAGAUGAAAACCAUGGAAGCAACUAAGUUCUUGGGGCUUCAGUCUUG
Molecule: unclassified non-coding RNA, 324 nt
Filed under: Hevea brasiliensis (rubber tree)
Lineage: Eukaryota; Viridiplantae; Streptophyta; Magnoliopsida; Malpighiales; Euphorbiaceae
Source: RNAcentral